This 491-nucleotide ribosomal RNA is filed under the name uncultured bacterium. RNAcentral describes it as "partial 16S ribosomal RNA". It matches the Rfam family "Bacterial small subunit ribosomal RNA", at positions 29 to 506 of the family's 1533-position model. The record is from RNAcentral.
AGUGAACGCUGGCGGUAGGCCUAACACAUGCAAGUCGAACGGCAGCACAGUAAGAGCUUGCUCUUACGGGUGGCGAGUGGCGGACGGGUGAGGAAUACAUCGGAAUCUACUUUUUCGUGGGGGAUAACGUAGGGAAACUUACGCUAAUACCGCAUACGAUAUAGGGGUGAAAGAAGGGGAUAUUAGGAGUUGGGGGGAUGGAAGGGGACGAUGUCGGAUUAGCUAGUUGGCGGGGUAAAGGCCAACCAAGGCGACGAUCCGUAGCUGGUCUGAGAGGAUGAUCAGCCACACUGGAACUGAGACACGGUCCAGACUCCUACGGGAGGCAGCAUGGUGUAAUAUUAAAACAUGCUCUCAAUCCUAAUCCACCACUACCACGUUGGUAAAUAAGGCCUUCGGGUGGUAAAGCCAUUUUGUUGGGAAAAAAAAGCAACACCUUAAUACCCCUCUUUUCUAACUAUACCCAAAAAAUAAACACCGCCUAACUUCGU